GGAGGAAGGCGGGGACGACGUCAAGUCAUCAUGGCCCUUACGACCAGGGCUACACACGUGCUACAAUGGUAGGUACAGAGGGCAGCUACACAGCGAUGUGAUGCGAAUCUCAAAAAGCCUAUCGUAGUCCAGAUUGGAGUCUGCAACUCGACUCCAUGAAGUAGGAAUCGCUAGUAAUCGCGGAUCAGAAUGCCGCGGUGAAUACGUUCCC
RNAcentral lists this ribosomal RNA (211 nucleotides) under Psychrobacter sp. RNAcentral describes it as "partial 16S ribosomal RNA". It matches the Rfam family "Bacterial small subunit ribosomal RNA", at positions 1165 to 1375 of the family's 1533-position model. The record is from RNAcentral. Lineage: Bacteria; Pseudomonadati; Pseudomonadota; Gammaproteobacteria; Moraxellales; Moraxellaceae.